Molecule: ribosomal RNA, 294 nt
Filed under: uncultured bacterium
Lineage: Bacteria
Description: partial 16S ribosomal RNA
Rfam family: Bacterial small subunit ribosomal RNA
Source: RNAcentral
GGAUUAGAUACCCUGGUAGUCCACGCCCUAAACGAUGAGAACUAGCUGUUGGGAGAGUUUAGUCUCUUAGUAGCGAAGCUAACGUGUUAAGUUCUCCGCCUGGGGAGUACGGCCGCAAGGUUAAAACUCAAAUGAAUUGACGGGGGCCCGCACAAGCGGUGGAGCAUGUGGUUUAAUUCGAUGCAACGCGAAGAACCUUACCUGGUCUUGACAUCCCGCGAACUUUCCAGAGAUGGAUUGGUGCCUUCGGGAACGCGGAGACAGGUGCUGCAUGGCUGUCGUCAGCUCGUGCCG